AACCUGCGGAAGGAUCAUUAUUGAAUAAACUUUUUUUAGUUUUUUUUUCAUAUUCCCUGUUUAUAUUAAAUACGUUCCUUCCAUCGGACAGGUCUUUUUUAGGACCCUCUGGCUUGAGCAAAUGCUUUUGCUAGGGAGUUUUCCGGUGGCAAUUUCUAAAAAAAAAAAUUUGUUAUUUAUGAACUGUCUGAAUAAUAACUUUUUAAAUUAAAUAAAACUUUCAACAACGGAUCUCUAGGCUCUUGCAUCGAUGAAGAACGCAGUGAAAUGCGAUAAGUAAUGUGAAUUGCAGAAUCUCGUGAAUCAUCGAAUCUUUGAACGCACAUUGCGCCCUAUGGUAUUCCGUAGGGCAUGCCUGUCUGAGCGUCAACUCCCACCCUCUCAAGUCUUCUUUGAUUUGGAUUGCUUUGAGGAAGUAUCAAAUUUUUUGCUACUCCUCAGAAAUUUAUAGGCAGUAUGGUCAAACCUGAACCAGGCGUAAUAAUUUUAUAAAAAAUCGUCUAAUGAAGGAAAGUCUGUAUUAGUCUUUAA
This 531-nucleotide ribosomal RNA is filed under the name uncultured Pezizaceae. RNAcentral describes it as "eukaryotic LSU rRNA". The stretch from base 216 to 369 matches the Rfam family "5.8S ribosomal RNA". Lineage: Eukaryota; Fungi; Ascomycota; Pezizomycetes; Pezizales; Pezizaceae. The record is from RNAcentral.